CAGUCCAAACCAGAAUUUGCUGUUUUUCAUUCAGAUUCAUUUUAUGUUCUUUUUUUUUCCUCCCAGUCUGAUAAGUAUCUUCUGUUCUCCAACAGUUUAAAGUUCAAAUCUUUAGAGGAAAAACACCAAAGCCCUGAACCAUUUAUUUUAGUCAAAAAAAAAUAUUAAAAAAUAUGCUAAAAUUUUUUAAAGCUUGAAAACUAAAAACAGUGGAAGGAAUCUUCUUGAAACGUCAGCCGUGUUGAGAAACCUGGUCUGAGCUGUGAUUGGUCAGAGAUGAAGAGAGAGAGCAGAGGUUUGGGGGGGCGGGGAUGCUGAUGUGAUAAAGAGACAGCAGACAUGAACUUAGAGACACUGAGAGGACAUGGAUCAUCCAACACUGAUGCUGCUGGUGACUCUCUGCAGUUCAGGACUCUGUGCUGAACUCCAUUCAGCAGGUUCAGAGGAAUUCAGGCUGGUGGGAGGAGCCAGCCGCUGCACUGG
Long non-coding RNA from Oryzias melastigma (Indian medaka), 483 nucleotides. RefSeq lists it as uncharacterized. The record is from RefSeq and is a predicted model, not a curated record. The transcript has 3 exons. Lineage: Eukaryota; Metazoa; Chordata; Actinopteri; Beloniformes; Adrianichthyidae.